Molecule: long non-coding RNA, 1155 nt
Organism: Phyllopteryx taeniolatus (common seadragon)
Lineage: Eukaryota; Metazoa; Chordata; Actinopteri; Syngnathiformes; Syngnathidae
Exons: 3
Source: RefSeq, a predicted model, not a curated record
UCUGGAUCUGCGAUGUGAUGUGAACUCUCAGUCAACUGGAAAGACGUCAAGAGGUUUUUGUGUCACUUUGUGGCGGGCAUCAUCAUCAAGCAACAAAAUGGGCCCAAGCAGAACCACCCGAACCUGCAUAAGUGGUUCCGAAUGAGUCGAUGGAGAAGCGACUCACCGAAGCGCCUGUCAGCCGAGGCGGGGGAGGAGGAGGUCCGCAGGAGGAGGAGGAGGAAGAGAGUCUGGUCGGCCCUAUUGCCCGCUCAGGGCGGCACCUGUGCGGCCUGAGGAAUAGGAAAGGAGUCGGUGGGGAUGGAGGAAGAGGGAGAUGGAUGGAGGCGAGCAGGUUGGGCGUUUACUCCUCUUCCUCCUCCUGAUGCUGCUGCUGCCGUUUGACGCUCCCAGCAAACGCGUAGUUGUCUUCGCGCACAACACAUCCGGCGCUCGACUUCAAAGUAAAAUCAAGGGAAUAAAACGUAACUUUCUACACUUCGCAUGGCACAGACAAACAAUGACCUGGUCGCCAGUCCGUGUCUAAAACACGAGUGCUGCCAGAGAGGGGAAAAGAAAAACCAACAAAACCAAAUGAUUAUCUCUUCUUUAUUUAUUCCAAAGACAUCUUUUACAAGUGUAUGGAGGCAAGCUGUUUGCAGGUCACAUGACCUUUUAGUAAAGGCACAACAGGAAGGAGACUUUUUAGUGUGAACCCUUCAAAAUAAGAGUACCGCUGUCCUUACUAUGAAAUGUGCUUCCAACGGGGCACACUUCACAAUAAAACACUGCUACUCUACGCACUUUGGUUUAAAUGCUUAAAGUUGUACAAAAAAAAAUCACAACAAAUAGAACAUGAACGUGACUUAAGACUUUGCAAGUAAAAUAUCUAAAGCAUACACAAUAUUAAAAUGUCACUUGUUAACAUAAUAUUGCUGCUGCUGACAUUUGUGCAUAAAAAAAAUAAAAAAUCCAGAACUUAACGUAGAAAAUAUAUAGUAACCACUAGGUGGUGCAAAUAUACGAUUAUGUAUAUUGAUAUUUAGGUUUCUUUGUAAAGCUGUAUGAUUUGUACAUUAGAAGCACUAUGGAUGGUACGUUAUAAUAUCUUCUGAUUCAUAUAUUUUCAUAAUUUUUUUCUAAAUAAAAUUAACCUUUGAAACACCUCAAUGAUAU